UAGGAGUACAUGGGGUGACCUGUUAAUUC
This 29-nucleotide non-coding RNA is filed under the name Rattus norvegicus (Norway rat). Lineage: Eukaryota; Metazoa; Chordata; Mammalia; Rodentia; Muridae. The record is from RNAcentral.